RNAcentral lists this ribosomal RNA (494 nucleotides) under uncultured Pseudomonadota bacterium. RNAcentral's name for it is "bacterial SSU rRNA". It matches the Rfam family "Bacterial small subunit ribosomal RNA", at positions 355 to 838 of the family's 1533-position model. Lineage: Bacteria; Pseudomonadati; Pseudomonadota. The record is from RNAcentral.
UGGGGAAUUUUGGACAAUGGGCGAAAGCCUGUUCCAGCAAUGCCGCGUGAGUGAAGAAGGCCUUCGGGUUGUAAAGCUCUUUUGUCAGGGAAGAAACGGUGAGAGCUAAUAUCUCUUGCUAAUGACGGUACCUGAAGAAUAAGCACCGGCUAACUACGUGCCAGCAGCCGCGGUAAUACGUAGGGUGCAAGCGUUAAUCGGAAUUACUGGGCGUAAAGCGUGCGCAGGCGGUUUUGUAAGUCUGAUGUGAAAUCCCCGGGCUCAACCUGGGAAUUGCAUUGGAGACUGCAAGGCUAGAAUCUGGCAGAGGGGGGUAGAAUUCCACGUGUAGCAGUGAAAUGCGUAGAUAUGUGGAGGAACACCGAUGGCGAAGGCAGCCCCCUGGGUCAAGAUUGACGCUCAUGCACGAAAGCGUGGGGAGCAAACAGGAUUAGAUACCCUGGUACGUCCACGCCCUAAACGAUGUCUACUAGUUGUCGGGUCUUAAUUGUACG